Phrynosoma platyrhinos (Desert horned lizard) is the source of this 72-nucleotide non-coding RNA. NCBI's taxonomy places the organism in Eukaryota, Metazoa, Chordata, Lepidosauria, Squamata, Phrynosomatidae. The record is from the annotation of a GenBank genome assembly.
GACCGUGUGGUGUAAUGGUUUGAGUGUUGGAUUAUGACUCUGGAGACCAGGGUUCAAAUCCCAGCCCAGCCA